Molecule: transfer RNA, 72 nt
Filed under: Psammoneis japonica
Lineage: Eukaryota; Bacillariophyta; Plagiogrammaphyceae; Plagiogrammales; Plagiogrammaceae
Description: tRNA-Glu
Rfam family: tRNA
About the family: Transfer RNA (tRNA) molecules are approximately 80 nucleotides in length. Their secondary structure includes four short double-helical elements and three loops (D, anti-codon, and T loops). Further hydrogen bonds mediate the characteristic L-shaped molecular structure. tRNAs have two regions of fundamental functional importance: the anti-codon, which is responsible for specific mRNA codon recognition, and the 3' end, to which the tRNAs corresponding amino acid is attached (by aminoacyl-tRNA synthetases). tRNAs cope with the degeneracy of the genetic code in two manners: having more than one tRNA (with a specific anti-codon) for a particular amino acid; and 'wobble' base-pairing, i.e. permitting non-standard base-pairing at the 3rd anti-codon position.
Source: RNAcentral
GUCCUUAUGGUCUAGGGGUUAGGACAUCGCCCUUUCACGGCGAUAGCACGGGUUCAAAUCCCGUUAAGGAUA